CCUUCUAACUUUCCUUUAAGUGACACUUCAUAGCAGCUGCUAGUUUUAUAAUCAUUACGUGUUUGAGCAUAGUACACAGUGUAAGAAAUAAGUGUUACACUGAAGAGGACCGCAGAGUUUAAAUGCGAUGGAAUUUUAUCCUACAUAUAUUAUUUUUAAUAUGAUUGUAGACGAGAAAAGAGAGGGAGAAGAAAUUUAUAAUUGUAUUAUUCGGCAAAUGCUGUACAUUUUGUAAAUUAAUUUUUGUUAAGCAAUUCAAAGGUAGACUACUAUUUUUACAUUGAGGACGAAAGUAUUUAUGUUAUCUUUUACUAAGUUUUUUAAAACUAGUAACUGAAUAUAUAUUUUUGUACGUACAAUAUGUGUGUGUUUCAUGAAAUUAGUGAAACCAGUGAAUCGAGUGUAAUAUUUACUGAAUAAUACAAUAUUGUUUGAGGUAAUGGAUGAUACUCACAGGCAUUUAAAAAUGCCUUGAAUAUAGGAUUGGAUUAAGACUUAUUUUUGGUACCUGGUUUUUGCUGUCAAGUUAUUGCCCUAAGGCAUUAGUGCUUAAUCACGCUUUGGAGCUUUAGUACUCCUAAAUAACGAUCAAUUUUUGUUAGAUUAUUAGGAAAAUUAUUUCGUCAUUAAGAACUUGUUACAAAGAUUCUACCAAUGGGUCUAGUUGUACGAACUCAUAGCAAGUUAUUUUUAUAUUGCACGGAAGCAACACAGAAUCAACGCGAACAAAUGUACACUAUAGGUAUCUUAUAAGGGAACGCAAAUAAAAAAUAUUUUUUACUCGCAUGAAGAAGAAAUUGAAUAAACCAUUCAUCGUUGUUCAUUUAAUGAGGUAAUAGGACUUGAAAAGAUCAAGUGCAAUAUCUCUUAAGAUAACAUAUAUAUAAUCAAUAAUUUAACUGUUUAUACAUAAAUAAUAUGGGUAUGCGGGUACCCGAUAAUUUCUAGCACCCAAGUCUCGGAUCAAAUUGGGCUAGGCGUUAUCCCGAAAGUUUGACAAGCACAUAAAUUUGUCCGAGUACUCGCACACCCUUGAUAAAUAACUUAAGAGCUUUACAAUAAAUACUAAAUCUAUUCCUUUUCUUA
This is a long non-coding RNA of Ceratina calcarata, 1086 nucleotides long. RefSeq lists it as uncharacterized. NCBI's taxonomy places the organism in Eukaryota, Metazoa, Arthropoda, Insecta, Hymenoptera, Apidae. The record is from RefSeq and is a predicted model, not a curated record. The transcript has 2 exons.